UGGUGAUACAGAUUGAAUCUACU
This 23-nucleotide non-coding RNA is filed under the name Rattus norvegicus (Norway rat). Lineage: Eukaryota; Metazoa; Chordata; Mammalia; Rodentia; Muridae. The record is from RNAcentral.